GUGAGGGAGGGCGUGACUAGUGACAGAGUGAGCGAGGGCGUGACUAGUGACAGAGUUAGGGAGGGAAGGGGUGACUAGGGACAGAGUGAGGGAGGUGGUGACUAGUGACAGUCACCACCUCCCUCACUGUCACUGUGUCACCCCCUCCCUCACUCUGUCACUGGUCACCCACUCCCCCCCUCACUCUGUCACCAGUCAUCGCCUCACUCUGUCACUAGUCACCCCUUCCUUCCCUCAC
This is a non-coding RNA of Pelobates cultripes (western spadefoot toad), 238 nucleotides long. The record is from the annotation of a GenBank genome assembly. Lineage: Eukaryota; Metazoa; Chordata; Amphibia; Anura; Pelobatidae.